UGAAUUCAUUCAAGAAAUACGAUAGACAUUCUCAUUAAUGAAGUAAUACCUUAUGUAAAAUAUAGUAUGUGAUCUACUUGCAGUUAAGUAAAGUGAUAAGUUGAAUACCUCUGAGACUUGACAUUUCAGUUGAUGUAUCUUUCUUGUACUGAUCAAGUCCAGUGGUUGUUGGCAUAAGUCUUGGCAGGUCUAGAAUCUUCCAAAAUGCGCAUAUUCAAAAGAUCCUUGACUUCCUUUUAUUGCCAUCAUUCUUUAGGCUAACUAGUAGACCAU
RNAcentral lists this long non-coding RNA (273 nucleotides) under Daucus carota (carrot). RNAcentral describes it as "long non-coding RNA (DCAR_LNC003812)". The record is from RNAcentral. Lineage: Eukaryota; Viridiplantae; Streptophyta; Magnoliopsida; Apiales; Apiaceae.